This 253-nucleotide ribosomal RNA is filed under the name uncultured bacterium. RNAcentral describes it as "partial 16S ribosomal RNA". It matches the Rfam family "Bacterial small subunit ribosomal RNA", at positions 524 to 776 of the family's 1533-position model. The record is from RNAcentral.
UACGAAGGGGGCGAGCGUUGUUCGGAAUUACUGGGCGUAAAGGGCGCGUAGGCGGCCGAUCAAGUCAGAUGUGAAAGUCCUGGGCUUAACCUGGGGACUGCAUUUGAUACUGAUUGGCUUGAAUGCAGGAGAGGAUAGCGGAAUUCCCAGUGUAGAGGUGAAAUUCGUAGAUAUUGGGAAGAACACCGGUGGCGAAGGCGGCUAUCUGGACUGUGAUUGAUGCUGAGGCGCGAAAGCGUGGGGAGCAAACAGG